AAGAUUUUAUCUUAAUAAAAGUAUCUGAGUUGCAUUCAGAGGAUGUAGGUUAAUAUCCUUCAAAUCUUA
RNAcentral lists this transfer RNA (69 nucleotides) under Dendrobates auratus (green and black poison dart frog). Its description in RNAcentral is "tRNA-Ala". It matches the Rfam family "tRNA". From Rfam's summary of the family: Transfer RNA (tRNA) molecules are approximately 80 nucleotides in length. Their secondary structure includes four short double-helical elements and three loops (D, anti-codon, and T loops). The record is from RNAcentral. Lineage: Eukaryota; Metazoa; Chordata; Amphibia; Anura; Dendrobatidae.